Molecule: long non-coding RNA, 268 nt
Filed under: Lathyrus oleraceus (garden pea)
Lineage: Eukaryota; Viridiplantae; Streptophyta; Magnoliopsida; Fabales; Fabaceae
Description: Pisum sativum (pea) long non-coding RNA (PSAT_LNC028327)
Source: RNAcentral
CAGUCCAAACGGUUGUGUCUUCUUCGUUGAUUUCAUGGUCAUGAUCCAAAUUUAGGUAUGGACGCCAAAUGAACUGAAAUAUGAACAUAUGUUAGAUUAUAAAUUUGGUAGAAGAAAUUAACAAAUUAUUACGAAAUAAUUAGGUUAUUAUCCAUACAUCUGUCGGUCGGAGGUGAUCCAAGAGAUUGCGAUACUGGGUAAUACAAUGUCUAGGAUAUCUGUUAUAAUUCAUACCACGUGUCGACCAUCUGCACCGUAAAGGUAAAAG